CAGUCGCCACGGGAAUACGGAGGGUGCGAGCGUUGUCCGGAUUUAUUGGGUUUAAAGGGUGCGUAGGUGGCUUUUUAAGUCAGUGGUGAAAUACGGUUGCUCAACAAUCGAGGUGCCAUUGAUACUGAAGAGCUUGAAAUAAUUGGAGGCUGCCGGAAUGGAUGGUGUAGCGGUGAAAUGCAUAGAUAUCAUCCAGAACACCGAUUGCGAAGGCAGGUGGCUACGAUUUGUUUGACACUGAGGCACGAAAGCAUGGGGAGCAAACAGGAUUAGAUACCCGCGUAGUCCCUGUCUCUUAUAC
Molecule: ribosomal RNA, 301 nt
Filed under: uncultured bacterium
Lineage: Bacteria
Description: partial 16S ribosomal RNA
Rfam family: Bacterial small subunit ribosomal RNA
Source: RNAcentral